Molecule: long non-coding RNA, 1125 nt
Filed under: Zostera marina
Lineage: Eukaryota; Viridiplantae; Streptophyta; Magnoliopsida; Alismatales; Zosteraceae
Description: long non-coding RNA (ZMAR_LNC004561)
Source: RNAcentral
UAUCCAUUGCUCCCCAAGUCUCUUCUUUGCUUGUUGGAAUCUCAUAAUCUUCCAAUAUGAUUUUCCAGACUCCAUUGUUGAUUGACUUUAAGUAUAACUUCAUCUUGUUCUUCCAGAAGUCAUACUUUACUCUAUCGAACCUGGGAGGUUUGUUCGAUGCAAGACCAGUACUGUUUUCACCAUUUGAAGCCAUAGUUGUUGUUGUAAGAUGUUAGUCUGACUUCAAUGGAACUUGGCUCUGAUACCACUUGUUGGAUCGUGAUCCGAGGCUAUAAGGGGGGAUAAUAGCCUCUUUUCGAUUUAUACAGGUUGAUUGCGGAAUUACCUGUAAACGCUUAAUAAACAAAUGGUUGAACAAUAAUGAUAUAAAGAUAUUAUAACUUUGAUUGAUAUAAUAAUGUAAUUAUUACUCUUCGAAGCUUACCACAGUAUAUGAAUUACUGAGUCAACUUGCUUGAUAGUGUUUUACACACAACUAUAGUAUAUGAAUAUUAAGUUAUAUUGUAAACACACAACUAUAGAGUAAAUGACCAGAUAACUGGAUAUAUUUAUAAGCAUGUAAAUGACCAGAUAACUGGAUAUAUUGAUAAGCAAGUAAAUGACCAGAUAACUGGAUAUAUAUGAUAAGUAAAUGAAUGACCAGAUAACUGGAUAUAUAUGAUAACUAAAUGCUUGAACAAAUAUAAGUAUUUAAAAUAAUGAAUAUAACCUCAGAUAGUUGACCAGAUAACUGGAUGAGAGAUCUGCGUAAAGUAGUCAACCUCUGUAUUUGACCAGAUAACUGGAAGAGGGAUCCUUUUUAAUCAAGUGUUGAUUUAGUUGUUUUAGAUAAAAGAUAAAACUAUAAUUAACAGAGAACAACACAAGAGAUUUAUACUGGUUCACCCAAACAAGGGCUAGUCCAGUCCCGACCAACUGCCGGAAUUCACUCGCCUAAAGGUUAUGGCAAAACCUUAGAGUAUCAAAGAAACCCUUAAGAACCUCUCUAAGCUUUAAGGCUACUUCGCUUAGGAACCAGUCUUUUACGGGUAGACUCACACUUUAGAGUAUCAAGGGCACUCUUAAGAACCUCUAACUUUUACGGGUAAGUUAGUACCUUAGAGUAUCAAGGAACUCUUAAAAACC